Phacochoerus africanus (Common warthog) is the source of this 1343-nucleotide long non-coding RNA. RefSeq lists it as uncharacterized. The record is from RefSeq and is a predicted model, not a curated record. NCBI's taxonomy places the organism in Eukaryota, Metazoa, Chordata, Mammalia, Artiodactyla, Suidae. The transcript is spliced from 3 exons.
CAUGGAUCCUAGUCAGAUUCACUUCUGCUGAGCCACAAGGGCAACUCCUCGAGCUUCUUUCUUAAGGACACGAUACCAUCCCCCUCUCGCCUCUCCUACCCUGCUCCCACCCCCAGACCCCCCUGGGUUAGUCUCCCCAGCAGACACUGACGGCCAGAAGGAACCAGAAAGAGCGCAGUCGCCCAAGCGCCAGUUCCGCGGGCCACACCCAAGGCUCUUCUGCCAGCAGUGUGAUGAGCUGAGAAAGGUCAUGCUUGACAAGCUCUGCUCCAAAGGCUACUUACCUGGGAUCCGCCACUUCCGCUUAGGCCAAAUACAAAGUCCUGAAUUUUGAAACUGCAUACUCAAUGCCUCAGAAGCAUUUGAAACGGAAUUUCUGAAACUAUGUGGGUACAUACGGCUGCACGUGGCGUGUCGGUCCCUAACCUCUGCAUCUGACAGCCAAUUUAGUAGCCUCCGCAGUUCAAAGAGCCCACACGGAUGGCUGGCUUUGCCACCCUAGGGCGGUUAACGUUUAGGAACAAAGGACCACACCUUCCAGGUUACAGGACGCCAACAGUCCCACGGACCGUGACGCGUACCCAGGGGGACAUGCAGCUGGAAGGACACUGCCACUGCUGCCACAGAGAAGCCAAGGUCUCCAGGCCGGCACUCGGCUGAACUGCGUUUACGACUCACACCAAGCUCGAAGCGCCAUCUCAUCCAUCGUCUCAACUGGAAUGGGAAAGAAAACUCCGCCCACAGCUAGGAAGGAUCUUAAGGACUCAGUCAAACACAGCAGUUUCCCCUGGAGGCGGAAGCCUCCGGAAGCAGCCAGUCUGAGCAGAGGGAGGCCCCGACACCAGCAGCCACAGACCCCAGGCAGGGGAGGCGCUUGGGGUGGGAGCCCCCGACCCAGAGGCCCGGGGCCUCCCGGGAAUGAUCACAGCUCCUGAACCACCACUAACCUGACCACAGGAAAAGGAGCAACCUGCACCUGGCCUUCCCCUCCGGCGGGAACACAAAACCCAAACCAGGGAAAAGCUGCAAGUUCUCUGAACCCUGGGGGCCGAGGAGUCUGAAGGGCCUCCGGUCCUGCGCCUUUUGACCAAAAAACCACAAAAACUCACAAGAGUCCCUCCCCCCGAACUCCCGAACCCCAAAGAAAACAGAACCUCCUUCCCCUUGCUGGAAAAAAACAUAAGCAAAUCGCAUUCGACAUAAAAGAUCUUGGCUUAUGUGUCAAGAGGCACUUCUGCCAACGCUGCUGGCGCCCUCAGCCCGCAGUUCAUGGUAACUGGCCAGGCUCGUGGAUAUUUUAUUUAGUGCACAGAAUCUCAAUCAAAGUGCUACAAACUGCUUCU